Molecule: long non-coding RNA, 269 nt
Organism: Panicum virgatum (switchgrass)
Lineage: Eukaryota; Viridiplantae; Streptophyta; Magnoliopsida; Poales; Poaceae
Exons: 2
Source: RefSeq, a predicted model, not a curated record
GGGCGAGUUUGGGUUUGCUGAUUUAGGGGGUUGGUUUGGCCCGGGAGGCCGGCACACAGGUGCCGCCGGGCAAAAAAAAAAGGGCUUGGGUGUCGCGCCCCAAGCCGAAGCCCGUUCCACGCCGUCAGGGUUUCCACGCAGUUGGGCGGCAAGUUUGCCGAACGAUAGCGUUCGUGCACAGGUCGUUGUCGCCGGGCUGUGUGCACCACACGCGCAGCCCACUUCGUGGUGCAUGGGCUCGCAGACUAUCCACUUCUACCCACUCUUUU